Sus scrofa (pig) is the source of this 560-nucleotide long non-coding RNA. RefSeq lists it as uncharacterized. The record is from RefSeq and is a predicted model, not a curated record. NCBI's taxonomy places the organism in Eukaryota, Metazoa, Chordata, Mammalia, Artiodactyla, Suidae.
UCAGACUACUCAAGAUUUGUCUUUUCUCUUGUUCUUGGUACAUCCCAUCCCCUGCUCGACCAGUCCCUGCUUCACUCACAUGACUAUCCAAUCCUCUUAAUUAUAGGGCUUAGUUAGCCCUGGUAACGGAUGAGUCCACCUGGUGUCAGUUCCCCUAUAAAUGGCAGCCUCCCUCUCCCUGAAUAGCGAAGACUGCUGCCAUGUUCUGCCCACCUCUGUCACACACAACGGGGUGUCACUCCAGGACUCUUCAUUUCCUAAAUGAGCCAACAUUUGGGAUCAGUCCCAUUUUUCACUGAUCCUGUAAAGUGCACCAUUUCCAAGAAGCCCUAGAGAUGUGGAAAGAUAAGAAUGUGAAUGUGUUAAAACUUCUUUUGAGAAAAAAGAAUGAGAUGCUACAAAAGGUCUGAUGUUGGUGACGCAUGAAGCCUGGCCAUAAGCUGUGACUUCCCCAGGCACCUGGAAGUAAAAGGAAGGACGUUUCAUCUGAGGGUGAAUCUAAUAAAAAUCCACACCUAAUGGAUACAAUUAAGCAACCAAGAAAUUGUCAAUGUGCGAUU